UACAGAGGUCUCAAGCGUUGUUCGGAUUUAUUGGGCGUAAAGGGUGCGUAGGCGGCAAGGUUAGUUGGAUGUGAAAUGCCAAGGCUCAACCUCGGCACCGCAUUCAAUACUGCCAUGCUAGAGCGCUAGAGAAGAGACUGGAAUUUACGGUGUAGCAGUGAAAUGCGUAGAUAUCGUAAGGAACGCCAGUGGCGAAAGCGAGUCUCUAGAUAGUAUGCUGACGCUGAGGCACGAAAGCCAGGGGAGCAAACGGGAUUAGAACGUACGUCGU
RNAcentral lists this ribosomal RNA (271 nucleotides) under uncultured bacterium. RNAcentral's name for it is "partial 16S ribosomal RNA". It matches the Rfam family "Bacterial small subunit ribosomal RNA", at positions 524 to 794 of the family's 1533-position model. The record is from RNAcentral.